GGGCCCGCACAAGCAGUGGAGUAUGUGGUUUAAUUCGACGCAACGCGAAGAACCUUACCAGGUCUUGACAUCCCGUGCAUAGCAUAGAGAUAUGUGAAGCCCUUCGGGGCACGGUGACAGGUGGUGCAUGGUUGUCGUCAGCUCGUGUCGUGAGAUGUUGGGUUAAGUCCCGCAACGAGCGCAACCCUUAUCGUUAGUUACUACGCAAGAGGACUCUAGCGAGACUGCCGUUGACAAAACGGAGGAAGGUGGGGAUGACGUCAAAUCAGCAUGCCCUUUAUGACCUGGGCUACACACGUACUACAAUGGCCGUCAACAGAGAGAAGCGAUACCGCGAGGUGGAGCAAAACUCAGAAAAACGGUCUCAGUUCGGAUUGGAGGCUGCAACCCGCCUCCAUGAAGCCGGAAUUGCUAGUAAUCGCGGAUCAGCAUGCCGCGGUGAAUACG
This 447-nucleotide ribosomal RNA is filed under the name uncultured Eubacteriales bacterium. RNAcentral's name for it is "bacterial SSU rRNA". It matches the Rfam family "Bacterial small subunit ribosomal RNA", at positions 917 to 1370 of the family's 1533-position model. Lineage: Bacteria; Bacillati; Bacillota; Clostridia; Eubacteriales. The record is from RNAcentral.